Molecule: ribosomal RNA, 676 nt
Filed under: uncultured bacterium
Lineage: Bacteria
Description: bacterial SSU rRNA
Rfam family: Bacterial small subunit ribosomal RNA
Source: RNAcentral
GAUGGAUAACCGGGAGAAAUCCCGCCUAAUACAGCAUGACGCCGGGAAGGGACAUCCCUUUCCGGCCAAAGGGGGCGACUCCGGUCACGGAUGGGCAUGCGGCGCAUUAGGUAGUUGGUGGGGCAACGGCCCACCAAGCCGACGAUGCGUAGGGGUUCUGAGAGGAAGGUCCCCCACAUUGGAACUGAGACACGGUCCAAACUCCUACGGGAGGCAGCAGUGAGGAAUAUUGGUCAAUGGCCGGAAGGCUGAACCAGCCAAGUCGCGUGAGGGAAUAAGGCCUACGGGUCGUAAACCUCUUUUGUCAGGGAGCAAGGCCGCCCACGUGUGGACGGAAGGAGAGUACCUGGAGAAAAAGCAUCGGCUAACUCCGUGCCAGCAGCCGCGGUAAUACGGAGGAUGCGAGCGUUAUCCGGAUUUAUUGGGUUUAAAGGGUGCGUAGGCGGCCUGCCAAGUCAGCGGUAAAAUUGCGGGGCUCAACCCGUGAACAGCCGCUGAAACUGCCGGGCUCGAGUGGGCGGGAAGUAUGCGGAAUGCGUGGUGUAGCGGUGAAAUGCAUAGAUAUCACGCAGAACCCCGAUUGCGAAGGCAGCAUACCGGCGCCCUACUGACGCUGAGGCACGAAAGUGCGGGGAUCAAACAGGAUUAGAUACCCUGGUAGUCCGCACAGUAAACG